AUGGCCGAAAUUGGACUCAAAAUGGCCGAUCCAAAAUGGCCGAAAAUCCAAUCCAAGAUGGCCAAAAUUGGAUCCAAAAUGGCCAAAAAUGGAUCCAAAAUGGCCGAUCCAAAAUGGCUGAAAAUCGAAUCCAAGAUGGCCGAAAUUGGCCACGCCCCCGACCGAGAACCGAAAAAAGCCGAAAAACCACAAAAAAGGCGAAAAAGGGGAAAUCGAAACUUCCGGUCUGGCCCCGCCCCGUCUGGGAGUGACGUCAUCGGUGACGUCAUCAGGCCACGCCCCCCAGCCACCGGGGGGCGCUCGAGGACUGUGAUUGGUGGAGGUGGAAAAGGGGCGGGGCUAAAGCGGAAAGGGGCGGGGUUAAAGGAAAUGGGCGUGGCCAAAAGGGGGCGGAGCUUAGGGGGCAGCGGGAGCCGCGAUGGGGCAGCCCGCCCCUCCCCCCCCUCCGUUUCCCCAUUGGCCGGUUGCGGCCCCGCCCCUUCCGCCAUUGGCUGCCUGGCCAGCGGCUUCUUCCCAAGCCCCGCCCACUUCUCCUGGAGCCCCGCCCCCUCCCCAGGCCCCGCCCCCCUCCCCCAAAUUUCCAGCCAAUCGCGGCUCUCCCUGGCCGGAAGUUGGCUCCGCCUCCCGGAAGCUUCCGGAAGUGACGUCAUCUUCCGGUGCCGCGUCCGGCACGCGCCGAGCGGCGCCGACGUCGCCGUCGACGUCAGACCGCGACCCCCUCGACCUCCGCGACCUCCGACCGUCGACGUUUUCCACUCCUGCCCCGCCCCCGACCUGGUGGAGCUUCUCUGUUUGGUCACCACCUUCUCCCCUCCCCCGGUGAGCGUCGAUUGGCUGAGAGACGGAUCCAAGAUGGCCGCCGGCCACGCCCACACCGAACCGGCCGCGCCCGACGUCGUUUCCGGAACGUUCCGGACGGUUUCGCGCCUCAACGUCUCGGUGGAGGAGUGGAGGGACGAGGUCUUCUCCUGCCGGGCCACCCACGGGGCCACCGGGGCCGAGGUGGAGGCGACGGUCGGGAGAUGCGCCGGCUCCACCUCCGCCUCCAUCUCCAUCUUCACCAUCCCCCCAUCCCCGUCCGACCUCUACAUCACCCAAACGCCCAAAAUUCGCUGUCUGGUGACGAACCUGCCGAGCAACGACGGCCUCAGCGUCACCUGGAGCCGCGACGGCGCCGAUUUCGGCAAAUUGGCUCAACCCCUCCCCCUCCAAUUGAGCCAAAACUUCAACGGGACGUUAACGGCCGUCAGCGAACUCCCGGUGAGCGUCGGCGACUGGGAGAGCGGCGCCGCCUUCGUGUGCCGGGUCGGACACGCCGAGCUGCCGGCGCCGGCGGAGCGGCGCGUGGAGAGGAGGCCGGGAAAACGCUUCCCACCCUCCGUCUUCCUCCUGCCUCCCCCUCUGGAGGAACUCUCCUCCUCCCGCCCCACGCUCAGCCUGACCUGCCUGGCCCGCGGCUUCUUCCCGGACUCCAUCGACGUCCAGUGGCAGAAAAACCAGGAAACCCUCGGGAAUUCCGGGGGAAUUCCGGGAAAUUCCGGGAAUUCCGGCCUGGAAACGUGGCCCCCGCGGCGGGAAAAGGGGGGGGAGGGGCGUUACUUCCUCUACAGCCGCCUGGAAGUGGAACGGGAAGAGUGGGAGACGGGCGCGACCUUCGUCUGCACCGUGGUGCACGAGGGGCUGCCCAUGCGCUUCCUGCAGCGCAGCGUGCACAGAAACCCCGGUAAUUAGCCUAAUUGGUGUUAAUUAGAUAAUUAAAGGUGGAUCGUCAGCGAAAA
This is a non-coding RNA of Taeniopygia guttata (zebra finch), 1778 nucleotides long. NCBI's taxonomy places the organism in Eukaryota, Metazoa, Chordata, Aves, Passeriformes, Estrildidae. The record is from the annotation of a RefSeq genome assembly.